GUUUUGAGUUUAUAAACUCUGAUUCGAUUGAAAUCGAUUAUUCAUACAUAUCAAGCAGAAUUUCUUAACACAAUACACUGAAUUCUGCAAACUACCCCUGCUAACUAUUUUUAAACUACAAGUCCAUGCAAGUCUUGAAUGAAGUUAUCGAUGUAGUUGCUCAUGAAUCCAGGACUCGAAAGAAGUUUUUUCCAUUUCUUAUGAUUCUCUUUCACAACACAACCGAUUUGGCUAUCUUUAUCCAUCACACAUUUCACAGCCUUGCACAAAUUCUCUUUAGUAAACAUAUCGUUUUCAUCCUUCUCCACUUCUACACCAACCUUAAGGUGUUGUCCCAUAAGCCUAGCAGUAAAAAUGUGAUCAAUAGGCCUUGGCAAAAGUACCAAUUGACAAUCACACAACACCAAA
This 408-nucleotide unclassified non-coding RNA is filed under the name Hevea brasiliensis (rubber tree). Lineage: Eukaryota; Viridiplantae; Streptophyta; Magnoliopsida; Malpighiales; Euphorbiaceae. The record is from RNAcentral.